This 3477-nucleotide long non-coding RNA is filed under the name Bemisia tabaci. RNAcentral's name for it is "lncRNA ENSSSA1NGG000915". The record is from RNAcentral. Lineage: Eukaryota; Metazoa; Arthropoda; Insecta; Hemiptera; Aleyrodidae.
CAUUAUGAUAAGUAUCUGAUCAAGAAAAUUUGGGGACGUUUAAAUACUCAUACGGCAUUCUUUCUUGCAGCGGCAGGAUGGCAGGAAAUAAAUAAACGUUUAGCAUCGUACGUUUUGACAACACUGUUUUUGACGACUGGACAGCACGUGGUCCUUAAAAGGAGCUGCUCACUUGAAUGGGUGAAGGACAGUGAAAUUAAAAUGAAUGAAUUUGCAGCGGAUCUUAACUUGUCCCUUGACGAGAUUCUUCGAAUCGUUAAAACCCCUGGUAUCUCGGAGGUAGAGGCUUUGCGUAAAAUGAACGUUGUUCUAAGUCGCCACUAUUUAGUAGCUCCAUCAUUAACUGUUGCUAAGACGUUGCUUCGGAAUCUAGCUAUUACUGAGGAAGUUAAAUUUACUCCCGUUAAAAUGAUUGACACCCUUGUAGCUCUCGAAUACAUCAUAACCGGAUUUCUGAGGGUACAGGCUUCCCCCUCGUACCAGCAAUCCUCUGGUUCAAUUGGUUCAAUGAUGAAAGGUUUAAUCGGUAGGACCAAACCCUUCUGUUCGCACCCAACAAUCGCUGCCAUGGAGGCAAAAGAAAAGGAAGUGGAGAACCCUCAUAAUUGGACAAAUCAUAUUGACCCUGCAGAUCUGGAAACUCCUCCACCAAAGCUGCGCAAAUUACCGAAGGAAGUGGAGAAAGCACUCCAACAUAAAGCUUCUCGUCCCCUCACAUUUGUGGCUGAAUACGAAGCAAGAAUGAAGGAUAGGUUAGUGAAAGCAUCACCAGUGGAUAAUGAAAUCGAAACUGAAAGAGAAGACACUCUGUCCGACAUAUUUGACGAUGGAAAAUCAGAUGUACGGAAUUCUACCUUUGAAAAGUCCGGGGGGGGAAACCCUGAGUUUGGUGAAUUGAAAUCCAACAGACCCAUCGAUUCGUCUGAAUUGCACGGAGAAAAGUCAACGACGAAUGGUGUGAAUCCGGUUCUGCCUUCAUCUGAAGGGAAGGGUGAAGCUGGUGACGAAAACGUUAAAUCACUACUCCACAUAGAACCUCAAGAAAACAAUCCUCUUGCCUUUCCCGAUUUAAACAGGAACCCGCCGACUAAUGUCCGGAUUCUAGAUUUGUUUUCUUUGCUGCACUCCUCCAACCCAAGAUGUUUCAAGAACAGUCCGUUCGGUCAUUCUUCAAAUCUUCUUUUGCAGGAUGAAAAAAUAAGUAUUAUCGCAUACGUAUCAAAUUGCUUUUUAAUAUACUGUGUUAAAUUGCCAAGAUGUCAUUCUACCAGAUAUUGUUUAUGUAAUAUCAACAGCGCUCAUAUUUUUGAAUUAUUAGUGGCCUGCAUGUGCUUGAAUUAUUAACUUUUUCCUUUGAAUCUAUUAAAAAAGUAAAUAAAAUAAACCACAAACAUACCUGAGGAAUUUGCACUUAGAAUCUACAAUCAAGUAAUAAUUUUACAAUUUAUACUUCAGCAUCUCUGCAUGUUGUAUGUUGAUUUCAUAUCGCAUAUAGAGCCGCUCAAAAAUGACAUGAGCUGUUUAAAUGGGGGGGGGGGGAUCUUUGCUUACCUUACGGCGGGGUUACCCGUGCGAGAAGGGUCAAACCCAGUCUUCCGUGAGCCCUCAUUUUAGAAAAAGGAAAUUUACUCAUAUAUUCUCCAAUAUUAAUAAUUUUUCAGCUUUUUUUUAGGCGUUCUCUGUUAAUUUCAUGAGGGGGUUGGAAUGGAUCAAGUCAAUCCUCAGAGGGGUUGAAAAUUUCCCUUAGGGGUACCUGAGAGAGGUAACCGAAUUGCCUUACGUAAUAAUUGAACGGCCUCCAUACUUUGAUUUUCAAAAAAGUUCUUGCAGAGCGCCUCGAUGUCGUAAAUUUCUGAUGAGUUUUCCAACGAAUGGAGAAUUUGCAGGUGUCUGAAUUUUGUAAAUUCCAUUUUGUAAAAUGAAAAUGUCAAGAAAACUGAGCGCGAUGAUAUCCUCGGUUUCUAAAUUGAACAAUUAUUGGAGGAGAUAUUACAGAAUAACCUAAUCUGACGAAAUACAUGUGUUUAAAUGGGAAAUAACAAAAGAUGAUGUCACAAGGCGGCACAUUUUCUCACAAUAAAAUCUAUUUUUCUCCGAUUUCCCAUUUCAGAAAAAAAUCAUGAAAAAUACUGCGAACUAAGCUGAUUAAGCACUCUCAGAUGAAGCAAUAAAAUUUGUGUGUGCAAAUUCUCCAUUGCUUUGGGUUAGAAAUAAUUUCUUCAUAGAGACUAUAUUUGACACCAGUGUCUGCGUUUCCUGGGAAAUCAGUCGGCCAAGUACAUUAGAGGUUCACGCACAGUCCAGCAGGGCAGCGACAGGCUGCAUUUAUGAUGAAUGGCAACGCAUUACGGUAAAAGCGCCCAAAUGCCCGUUCCUAUUCGAUGCAAGUGCGCGGUUUUCACAUUUGCUAAGCCAAACGUUCGUACCGAGACGCAUUUUGCAAUGACUGUUGAACGAGUAAAUGAAUGAGUUCAAUUUUCAAUGGCACAUGCAUCUUGCAGCUUGAGCUUCAUUUUUACGUGGGUUCGGCAGGCAGGCAUGCGCCAAAGACGAUCAGAUUUUGCACGGACGAAAGGGGGUCUUAAAGUCUCAUUGAAAGGUCAUUUUAGCGUAAGCUUGACACUUAGUAGGAUAACAUGUGUUUUUAAUGUCAUGAUGUUAAAUAUCAAAACGUUAAAUCUUAAAAUAUGACGUGUCAUUAAUGGUCGUUAGUAUAUUAGUAUUUUUUUAUAGCUAGAUUAAUUUAUUUGUGUUAAGUAGAAAAAUGUGAAAAUUCCGAAAGAAGACCUAAGGUAAAAAGCACCGAUCAUCAUGUUACGAAUUGAAACGGUCUUUUUCUCUUUCUUAAAUGCACAGUACCAGCUAGUAAAUUUGCGCACUUGUGUAUAGUGAAAUCAGUGACACACAAUGGGUGUAGUUUAGAUAGGCAACUAACCUAACUGCAUGGCAAAGUGGAGAGUAUUGCGCGAAACUGAAGGCGCUCUGAGUCGAGAAACUACUUUUGAAGGUCUUUGUCAAUAAAACAUUGUGAAUACCUGCGACAUAUUUACCUAUUUGCACAACCAGACAGUUUAAACAACUCUCGAUGUCUGAAGCAAAACAAGUUGUCAAAACGCUCUAAUCAGACAGUUUUCUCGUAACUGGAACCAACUGGUCCUUACUAGCUCGCAAGUGGCCCUCAAAACGGAGCUACUUCUCAAGUGUGAACUACCUAUAAUUAUUGUACAUCCUGCUUCUCGUGAAGGCUUCCUUCUUGAUAUCAGCUUGAUAGUCUGAUAUUAUCAUUUUCGGAUAAUAUAUGUCCAAAUUGUAACUCCAACUCAUCGAGAUUAUUAAGAUCUCACGAGAGCAUGCGUGAUGAAACAUUUCUUUUACCGCACAAGAUGUCACAGUUCUUGGUUGCCGCUGUGACAAAGUCACGGUUUACAUAACAUGUAUACCUAUAAUUGAAAUGGCUUCUUGACUCUGCUAAGGAUG